Molecule: ribosomal RNA, 489 nt
Filed under: uncultured bacterium
Lineage: Bacteria
Description: partial 16S ribosomal RNA
Rfam family: Bacterial small subunit ribosomal RNA
Source: RNAcentral
UUGAACGCUGGCGGCAGGCUUAACACAUGCCAGUCGAGCGGUAGCACAAGAGAGCUUGCUCUCUGGGUGACGAGCGGCGGACGGGUGAGUAAUGUCUGGGAAACUGCCUGAUGGAGGGGGAUAACUACUGGAAACGGUAGCUAAUACCGCAUAACGUCGCAAGACCAAAGAGGGGGACCUUCGGGCCUCUUGCCAUCAGAUGUGCCCAGAUGGGAUUAGCUAGUAGGUGGGGUAAUGGCUCACCUAGGCGACGAUCCCUAGCUGGUCUGAGAGGAUGACCAGCCACACUGGAACUGAGACACGGUCCAGACUCCUACGGGAGGCAGCAGUGGGGAAUAUUGCACAAUGGGCGCAAGCCUGAUGCAGCCAUGCCGCGUGUGUGAAGAAGGCCUUCGGGUUGUAAAGCACUUUCAGCGAGGAGGAAGGUGGUGAACUUAAUACGUUCAUCAAUUGACGUUACUCGCAGAAGAAGCACCGGCUAACUCCGUG